This is a long non-coding RNA of Gymnodraco acuticeps, 591 nucleotides long. RefSeq lists it as uncharacterized. NCBI's taxonomy places the organism in Eukaryota, Metazoa, Chordata, Actinopteri, Perciformes, Bathydraconidae. The transcript is spliced from 3 exons. The record is from RefSeq and is a predicted model, not a curated record.
GCUGAGAUUAACCUUCGGUGCAUCAACUGCAACAUGUGAAAAUUCCUUCUCAACUCUGAAAAUGUGUUAAGUGAACACAGAAGGAGCAUGCUGCAUAAAAGAAAAGCCUGUCUCAUCCAGAUCGCUGUUGAGAAGGACCUUACCAAAAAGUUCACUGGAGAGUGGAAGGAGAGAUUGCUGAGAAGAUUCAACACAGCUUCCAGGAGGCUACAUAUCUUCUGAGGGAUCCUGUGCUCCCUGGUGGUUCCAGUGUGCCAAUAUCUUUGAAGCUCCUACAGGAAAAAUUGGACAACAUGAGAUCUUUUGAGAAAAUGGCUGCUACGUUACAUGUUAUUAAAAAUAUUGGGGUUUUUGGAUUUCCAUAACAAUUGGCGCUGCGAGCAGGGUCUCUGCAAGUUCGAUUGGGAACACCUCCGGACGCUGGUGGUGGCCGGCUCCAGGAUCCUCGGAUCUUCCUCUACCCCGACAGAAACCGUAUGGGACGAGAGGACCAGCGCCGGGGGUGGAACUGAUUGACUUCACGAGAUCAAACGGACUUAAAAAGGCUUUUCAAUACUGGGUGAGAUGUACAGUGUCUAAAUUGUUUAAAGU